RNA transcript from Cornus florida, 1188 nucleotides. It is a transcript of the gene named protein FAR1-RELATED SEQUENCE 5-like, with no coding region annotated. The record is from RefSeq and is a predicted model, not a curated record. The transcript is spliced from 5 exons. Lineage: Eukaryota; Viridiplantae; Streptophyta; Magnoliopsida; Cornales; Cornaceae.
UGCGUUCCAAGAAGUGAGCACCGAACACUAGGCUCAUGUCCACACAAUCACCACUCAAAAACCCAAAAUCCCUUCACUCUUCAUCUCUCUCUCUCUCUCAAGGAAGAUCUCUGUGUUUUCCACACACAUCGAGCCAAUGGAUUUGGUAUUGAGAUCUGAAGCAGUAGAGAAUUCUGGAGGGGAGUUGAUGGCAUGUGAAGGGCUCUCAACUGUAGAACCAGAAGAGGGUAUGGAGUUUGACUCUGAAGAUGCUGCCAAGGUAUUCUACGAUGAAUAUGCUAGGCGGACAGGAUUUGUCAUGCGCGUGAUGUCAUGUCGUCGAUCAGAGGUUGAUGGGAGGAUUCUUUCCCGUCGACUUGGAUGCAAUAAGGAGGGUUAUUGUGUGAGUAUUCGAGGUAAAUUCGGGCCUGUUAGGAAGCCACGACCAAGCACAAGGGAAGGAUGUAAAGCUAUGAUUCUAGUUAAGUCAAACAAAUCCGGAAAAUGGGUCAUCACAAAAUUUGUUAAGGAUCAUAAUCAUCCACUUGUGAUAUCCCCUCGUGAAGUUCGUCACUUUAUGGAUGAGAAGGAUAAGAAAAUUCAGGAGCUAACUGCAGAGCUACGGAACAAAAAACGGUUGUGCGCGGUUUAUCAAGAACAGUUGUCGUCGUUUAUGAAAGAGGUUGAGGAGCACACUAACCAGUUAUCAAAGAAGGUUCAAGUUGUAGUCAACAAUUUAAAGGAAUUUGAUCCUAUAGACAAGGAGCUUUCACAUAGUAGAUAGCCCCAGCAAUAUGGUCUGCCGGAAAGAAAAUGCUAUGGGUAUCGUUGAGCACACGCGCCAAAUCUCAGUCUACCUGUGUGCAAUUUACUCAAACCUCAGGGGAGGUGCAGCAGAAGAAGAAAACAUUGACUGAAAACAGAGAAGGAAUUUUUGUAAAAUGUAUGAAAAAGUGCUAGCUUUGGUAGAGCUCUGUGGUUUAUGCAAAAUCAAAACUCAGAGACCAAUAUUUUCUUGAAUUAAAUUUUCUGGUGGGUGUACAACUAGAGCAGGGUGAUAACUUAGCCUUGUUGGCAUAUUCAAAUUGUGGGUAGAUGAUUUCUUAACUGCAGUAGCUGAUGUAUAAUUUGUUAAUAUGGGCCCUCCAGUAUUAAGUUCUGGGUCAUGUACAUUAUUAAUCAGAAUGUAUAAGCUUCAGUUUAUGGCAA